RNAcentral lists this transfer RNA (76 nucleotides) under Acidobacteriota bacterium. RNAcentral describes it as "Acidobacteria bacterium tRNA-Lys". It matches the Rfam family "tRNA". Rfam says of the family: Transfer RNA (tRNA) molecules are approximately 80 nucleotides in length. Their secondary structure includes four short double-helical elements and three loops (D, anti-codon, and T loops). Lineage: Bacteria; Pseudomonadati; Acidobacteriota. The record is from RNAcentral.
GGACGCGUAGUUCAGUGGGUAGAACAACGGACUCUUAAUCCGUGUGUCGUGGGUUCAAAUCCCACCGCGUCCACCA